This 447-nucleotide ribosomal RNA is filed under the name uncultured bacterium. RNAcentral describes it as "bacterial SSU rRNA". It matches the Rfam family "Bacterial small subunit ribosomal RNA", at positions 329 to 793 of the family's 1533-position model. The record is from RNAcentral.
CACCAGACUCCUACGGGAGGCAGCAGUGGGGAAUAUUGCACAAUGGGGGAAACCCUGAUGCAGCGACGCCGCGUGAGCGAUGAAGUAUUUCGGUAUGUAAAGCUCUAUCAGCAGGGAAGAAGAUGACGGUACCUGACUAAGAAGCCCCGGCUAACUACGUGCCAGCAGCCGCGGUAAUACGUAGGGGGCAAGCGUUAUCCGGAUUUACUGGGUGUAAAGGGAGCGUAGACGGCGAUGCAAGCCAGAUGUGAAAGCCCGGGGCUCAACCCCGGGACUGCAUUUGGAACUGUGUGGCUGGAGUGUCGGAGAGGCAGGCGGAAUUCCUAGUGUAGCGGUGAAAUGCGUAGAUAUUAGGAGGAACACCAGUGGCGAAGGCGGCCUGCUGGACGAUGACUGACGUUGAGGCUCGAAAGCGUGGGGAGCAAACAGGAUUAGAUACCCUCGUAA